Molecule: microRNA, 22 nt
Filed under: Limulus polyphemus (Atlantic horseshoe crab)
Lineage: Eukaryota; Metazoa; Arthropoda; Merostomata; Xiphosura; Limulidae
Description: Lpo-Mir-375-P10_3p (mature (guide))
Source: RNAcentral
UUUGUUCGUUCGGCUCGAGUCA